CUCCAGGAUGCAACAGACACAGUAUAAAAAGGCCCGGUCUCCCCUUGGUUUUCCAGCAGCUUCAUCUCUACCUAUCACUUGCUUUUCUUCUCCUCUGAAGACCAGACCAUCUCCACUCCUUAGCCAUGUCUUGCUGCCCACCACCGUGCUGCCCGUGCCCACCAUGCUGCGUCGUCCCAUCCUGUUCUUCCAGUCCAUGCAUUGGUAUCGGAGCACAGAAAUGCGGAACUUCCACAUCAUCCUCCUGCCUUGGAGUCGUGCCGGGAGUCACCCCUUGCUGCAUCAACCAGCUCCCAGCAGCGGAGGUUGUUGCCCAGCCACCUCCUAUCAUCAUAACCAUGCCAGGGGCCGUCAUGUCUGCGAGCUGUGAGCCCAUUCAUGUCGGAGGCACCGCUCCAUGCGCCGUCGCUGGCUGUUGCAAGCCCUGUUGUAAGCCCUGCAAAUAACAUCUCAUGGACUUUUUGACCUCGAAGAAGAAAACCAAAAGGAACAACCAAGGAUUCAUGGCUAAAUUCUCACACCUGUGGAUAGAGAUGCUGAGCAGUCCCUUCCCGGCUCAUGUCAAUGAGAGUUGGGGGUCUGCUCAGCAUCUAUGCUGAACCAUCCCACAUACACUUCUUUUCCUGGUCUUCUAUCUAUCUGGUGAUGGGAUUUCUUGGAAAGGAGGCGGUCAAGGAAGGAUUCUCUUUUGACGCGGAGAAUCUCUUCCUCCACCAUUUUCAAUGGGGAAACCUGCGCUUUUGUUGUGUUUUGCUUUCUGGAAAUUUAAAUGCUUGAUCUUUUCUCUUCCUGAAUAAAGCUUUAUCUGCAUCAGAGCACUGGUCUUGUCAAUUUGAAUUAGGGAUGGGGAGAUUCCUGCUCAAUAUUAAUAUGAUGGUAUUUAUGGAGUUCGUUGUGUAUUUUCUGGCCUGUAUGCCCAUGUUCCAGAAGUAUUCUCUCCAGACAUCCUCAGAAUUUGUGAGGUAUAUCCAGGGCCGGUCCAACAAUGAGGCGAAUUAAGCAGUCGCUUCAGGCACAAAACAUACAGGGGCGCAGUCGAGACUACUUCUUCUGUUGAUUUCUUGUAAAACAUGAUGUUUUGUGCUUAAUUUGUAAAAUCUUAAUGUAAUUUGAUGUUCAAUAGGCUUUUCCUUAAUCCCUCCUUAUUAUCCAACAUUUUCGCUUAUCCAACGCUUUUAUUUUUCAGUGAUUAGUUUGGGGGGGGGCACCAAAAUUCUGUUCGCUUACACUUGAAUAAUACCUAGGGCCGGCUCUGGGUAUAUCUGCCAUAGAUGUGGGUGAAAUGUCAGGAGAUAAAACUUCUGGAACAUGGCCAUACAGCCCGGAAGACACACAACAACACUGGUCUUGUCAAUUUGAAUUAGGGAUGGGGAGACUCCUACUCAAUAUUAAUAUGAUGAUGGUAUUUAUGGAGUUCGUUGUGUAUUUUCUGGGCUGUAUGCCCAUGUUCCAGAAGUAUUCUCUCCAGACAUCCUCAGAGUUUGUGAGGUAUAUCUGCCAUAGAUGUGGGUGAAAUGUCAGGAGAUAAAACUUCUGGGACAUAAGUUUUUACCUACCAUACAGCCCGGAAAACACACAACAACACUGGUCUUGUCAAUUUGGAACCAGAGCUGGCCCUAGGUAGUUUUCAAGUGUAGGCGAACAGAAUUUUGGCGCCCCCACCCAAACCAAUCACUAAAAAAUAAAAGCGUAAGAUAAGUGAAAAUGUUGGAUAAUAAGGAGGGAUUAAGGAAAAGCCUAUUAAACAUCAAAUUACAUUAAGAUUUUACAAAUUAAGCACCAAAACAUCAUGUUUUACAACAAAUAAACAGAAAAAGCAGUCUCGACUGCGCCCCCAUAUAUUUGGCGUCCGAAGCGACUGCUUAAUUCGCCUCAUUGUUGGACCGGCUCUGUUUGGAACAUAAGUUUUUACCUACCAUACAGCCCAGAAAACACACAACAAUACUGGUCUUGUCAAUUUGAAUUAGGGAAGGGGAGACUCCUGCUCAAUAUUAAUAUGAUGAUGGUAUUUAUGGAGUUCGUUGCGUAUUUUCUGGGCUGUAUGCCCAUGUUCCAGAAUUAUUCUCUCCAGACAUCCUCAGAAUUUGUGAGAUAUAUCUGCCAUAGAUGUGGGUGAAAUGUCAGGAGAGAAAAUUUCUGGAAUAUGGCCAUACAGCCCAGAAAACACACAACAACACUGGUCUUGUCAAUUUGGAACAUAAGUUUUUACCUACCAUACAGCCCGGAAAACACACAACACUGGUCUUGUCAAUUUUGAACAUAAGUUUUUACCUACCAUACAGCCCGGAAAACACACAAGAACACUGGUCUUGUCAAUUUGGAACAUAAGUUUUUACCUACCAUACAGCCCAGAAAACACACAACAACACUGGUCUUGUCAAUUUGAAUUAGGGAUGGGGAGACUCCUGCUCAAUAUUAAUAUGAUGAUGGUAUUUAUGGAGUUCGUUGUGUAUUUUCCGGGCUGUAUGGCCAUGUUCCAAAAGUAUUCUCUCCAGACAUCCUCAGAGUUUGUGAGGUAUAUCUGCCAUAGAUGUGGGUGAAAUGUCAGGAGAGAAAACUUCUGGAACAUGGCCAUACAGCCCGGAAAACACACAACAACACUGGUCUUGUCAAUUUGAAUUAGGGAUAGGGAGAUUCCUGCUCAAGUAAAAUCCUGUAAAGCUUUUAUUUCAAUAUUUCAGGCUGCCAGUUUUGGUCAAAUAUUUUGAAUGUCCACAGGACUUCCUUUCUCAGAAGUAUUGUGACACAUGUGCUGAAUGUUGUCAAUGAUACUUGCAAGGCCUAUUAUGUGAUCAAAACAUGAAAUGUCACAAUGCAAGUGAUCCACAUUAUCCUUAUGUCUACUUCUUGCUUCUCUUUUUGUCUAUUGGCAUCAUAAAAUCUGUUUUGGCAUCAUAAAUAACUUUGGCCAAGUCUAAAAGGGGCAGAUGCAUACUUCCUGAAUCUGGAUCCCAAUGGUUUAUUCCAGUGGUGUCCAAUAAUCGAUCCUCCAGAUGUUUUGAACUUCAGCUCCCAGAUUUUCUAAGUAUUGGACAAGCUGGCCAGGUCCUCUGGACGUUGAACACCUAAACGCCUGGAAGAUCCAAAGGUUGGACAGCACUGGCUAACUCUUCCAGUUGUGAGUCUAUCACCUUGCCCUCCAUGUUGCCACCAAAGUUGCUUUCUGGACACAGAGUUCCUUUUGAGUCUCCAGUCUUCCUUGUCAUGUCCACUGAUGUUGGAAUGCUUCGUUCCUUCUUGUGGGCGCCCCGUUAUGGCAUCAGGAGUUUCAGGAGUGAUAGCUGGGCACUCCAUGGUGACACUAAGAUGUCCUCUCCCAAUUUUCUGCUUUGAUCAGAGCAGAGAAACGAUAAUGCUACGGAGUCUGUAUAGACAAUGUAAAUGAAAUGGACAUGAUCCAGAUGGUGUGAAGUCCAUGAACACUCCAAACCGUCCUGCUAUCCAUGUGAUCGAGGUGACCCCCCCCCAGGACUUUGUAAAAGAUAGUUCAAAAAUCAAGACUUUAUGUUCUAUAUUUCAUAUAUUUAUAGCAGAAGGUGAUUGAGAUUUUUU
This 3552-nucleotide long non-coding RNA is filed under the name Anolis carolinensis (green anole). Its description in RNAcentral is "lncRNA (ENSACAG00000037598.1)". Lineage: Eukaryota; Metazoa; Chordata; Lepidosauria; Squamata; Anolidae. The record is from RNAcentral.